UACGUAUGGGGCAAGCGUUAUCCGGAAUUACUGGGUGUAAAGGGAGUGUAGGCGGCACGACAAGUCAGAAGUGAAAGCCCGGGGCUCAACCCCGGAACUGCUUUUGAAACUGUCGGGCUGGAGUGUCGGAGGGGUAAGCGGAAUUCCCGGUGUAGCGGUGAAAUGCGUAGAUAUCAGGAGGAACACCGGCGGCGAAGGCGGCUUACUGGACGACUACUGACGCUGAGGCUCGAAAGCGUGGGGAGCAAAC
This 250-nucleotide ribosomal RNA is filed under the name uncultured prokaryote. RNAcentral's name for it is "partial 16S ribosomal RNA". It matches the Rfam family "Bacterial small subunit ribosomal RNA", at positions 524 to 773 of the family's 1533-position model. The record is from RNAcentral.